UGCAACUCGCCUACAUGAAGUCGGAAUUGCUAGUAAUCGCGGAUCAGCAUGCCGCGGUGAAUACGUUCCCGGGCCUUGUACAUACCGCCCGUCACACCAUGGGAGUCGGUAACACCCGAAGCCUGUAGUCUAACCGCAAGGAGGACGCAGUCGAAGGUGGGAUUGAUGACUGGGGUGAAGUCGUAACAAGGUAGC
Molecule: ribosomal RNA, 195 nt
Filed under: uncultured bacterium
Lineage: Bacteria
Description: partial 16S ribosomal RNA
Rfam family: Bacterial small subunit ribosomal RNA
Source: RNAcentral